CCUACGGGUGGCAGCAGUGGGGAAUAUUGCACAAUGGGGGAAACCCUGAUGCAGCGACGCCGCGUGAGUGAAGAAGUAAUUCGUUAUGUAAAGCUCUAUCAGCAGGGAAGAAAAUGACGGUACUUGUGUAAGAAGCCCCGGCUAACUACGGGCCAGCAGCCGCGGUAAUACGUAGGGGGCAAGCGUUAUCCGGAUUUACUGGGUGUAAAGGGAGCGUAGACGGCAGUGCAAGUCUGGAGUGAAAGGCGGGGGCUCAACCCCCGGACUGCUCUUGAAACUGUACGGCUGGAGUGAAGGAGAGGGAAGUGGAAUUCUUGGUGUAGCGGUGAAAUGCGUAGAUAUUAGGAGGAACACUAGUGGCGAAGGCGGGUUACUGGACUGUAACUGACGUUGAGGCACGAAAGCGUGGGGAGCGAACAGGAUUAGAUACCCGAGUAGUC
RNAcentral lists this ribosomal RNA (440 nucleotides) under uncultured bacterium. RNAcentral's name for it is "partial 16S ribosomal RNA". It matches the Rfam family "Bacterial small subunit ribosomal RNA", at positions 338 to 795 of the family's 1533-position model. The record is from RNAcentral.